Molecule: long non-coding RNA, 436 nt
Organism: Manduca sexta (tobacco hornworm)
Lineage: Eukaryota; Metazoa; Arthropoda; Insecta; Lepidoptera; Sphingidae
Exons: 2
Source: RefSeq, a predicted model, not a curated record
UAAUUUAUUAAUGGACAGACUUGAUCCUUGCUGUUCUAUAUAGUGUUUGCACACGUUUCUGAUCGUGUCGUGUGUAUACGUGUAUACAAAUACUAGCCGGUAUCAUUCUGCAUACGAGUGCUGACAUCGAAACACGAACGUCGUUGCAUUUUGAACAAGUAUAUUUGCAAACUUAACAAUGCCUUGCGGAGGGUGCGCUGAUAAUUGCAAGUGCAGCACAUCGCAGUGCUGCAAGACCUGCAAAUGUGAUGCUUCCUGCUCUUGUCCCUGCAAACGGACCGCAGCAGGAGAUUCCGGCGACAAAACCACUACGAACUAACGCUCUAAAUGUAGUUUUUCGUUUAUAACAUCUAUUCAACAAUAAAUUUCUAUAAAUGAAAAUGUAAUACGCAUACUUCACUAUUUUUUUAUUUCAAUAAAUUUCGAUAAUAAUUAA